AUGUUAUUUUGCUUCUUUUCCUUGUAUGUCUCUACACGGUCCAUGUAACCUCCAGAUUUAUAAGAAGAAAAGAGUCUGUGACCCCCACACCUAUAGUCAAACAACCUCAUUGUUUGAUAUAAUGAAUGUGAACCUAAAACCAAAUUUUGCCAUGACAAAGCAUCUGUGGAAGAACUUCAGUGCCUUCAGGGAUUAAGAGGAGAAAUUGCUGGCAAAGUGGCUGACUCCAAAAUUAUUCCAGGAAUAAGACACAGUGGAGAAGGGUAAGGAGAGAGAAAGGAACCCUCAUGGGGCUGGACACAGGAUAAUUUU
RNAcentral lists this long non-coding RNA (312 nucleotides) under Mustela putorius furo (domestic ferret). RNAcentral describes it as "lncRNA (ENSMPUG00000029488.1)". Lineage: Eukaryota; Metazoa; Chordata; Mammalia; Carnivora; Mustelidae. The record is from RNAcentral.